This 376-nucleotide transfer-messenger RNA is filed under the name Siculibacillus lacustris. RNAcentral's name for it is "Alphaproteobacteria transfer-messenger RNA". It matches the Rfam family "Alphaproteobacteria transfer-messenger RNA". From Rfam's summary of the family: Bacterial tmRNA, also known as 10Sa RNA or SsrA, is named for its dual tRNA and mRNA-like properties. Its role is to liberate the mRNA from a stalled ribosome. The record is from Rfam by way of RNAcentral. Lineage: Bacteria; Pseudomonadati; Pseudomonadota; Alphaproteobacteria; Hyphomicrobiales; Ancalomicrobiaceae.
GCCCUUUCCCCGCCGCGACGGCUCACCUAUAUUGGGAGUGCCGUCGCAAGACGGCUAUGGCGAUAAACGAGCGGUGUAAUACGCCUUUCGGACCCGGGGGCAGUACCCGGCGCCUCCACCCGAGCCCAUCGGACGGUCCCAGGACGGAUCGGCGGCGGUGGGUUCCGGCGGGGGCGAACUAGGAUCGACGAGGGUCUAAAAACCGAUCUUUUGCCCGGCAUGAUACCGCCGUUAUCGGGUCAAACUAUAGUUGCCAACGACAACUAUGCUCCGGUUGCAGUGGCCGCGUGAGCGGUUUCUGACUCCGGUUACAAGUCCUGACGUGUAGCAGCGAUCAGGCGGGGUUCGGAGGCACCCGGCAACAGAAGCCUCCACU